AUAAUACAUAUCAUAUAUAUCAUAUAUGAUACAUAUAUAUCUCAUAUAUAAUACAUAUAUAUCAUAUAUAAUACAUAUCAUAUAUAAUACAUAUCAUAUAUAAUACAUAUCAUAUAUAUCAUAUAUAAUACAUAUCAUAUAUAUCAUAUAUAAUACAUAUCAUAUAUAUCAUAUAUAAUACAUAUGUAUCAUAUAUAUAAUACAUAUCAUAUAUAUCAUUCAUAUAUAUAUAUACACACACACACAUACACACACACACACACACACACACACACACCCCCUUGGAACAUACCUACCACCUAUUUUGCUAAGCACUCAAUAAAUGUAAGUCUGUGGUCCACACUUCCCACAAAUUGACUAGGGUUCUAUUCUACUCAGUCCAACAAAUAUCUACUGACUUAAAAGAAUAAAAAUAUGAGUAUACACAGCCUUCGUCUUUGAGAAACUUAAAAAUUCAUGUAAGUUUCUCAUCAAUGGUAAGAAAACAAAUCACCACAAUUCAAAGUACAUUAAGUGAUUUCCUGAGACACACAAAAAUCAGGAUGGCACUUGCACGCAGAUUGUUUUACAUAACAGAUGAUAACCAGUUCAUUGUUUUUUUUAAAUGUGUUGGAUUAAUAUUGAAAUGCUACCUUCUGGAGUUAUAACAACAAAAAUAACAAACAAGAAUGGUGAAUUUAAUUUAUGAAUAGAAGUAGCAGCUUUAAGAAUAAGUACAAGAACAAUGUAAAGAGCAUCUCACAAGUAUUUUACCUCAAAUUAUAGAAAACAAAAAUUAUAUUGGGCUUAAAGUAUGCCUUGCCAAAGGACAAAAGCAGCAAGUUCACCAAUACAGAAAUACCAGUGACUCAUUAGUAAAAACAAAUUUCAAACUUCUGAGUGGGGAUUGUGGCCUCAGACAGACUCAAGAUAGAGUCUGUCUUAUUAGCUAUGAAACCUCUGAGCCUCAACUUCAUCCUGUCUGUUAGAUGGGAUGCUUGCAGUUCCAAUAAACAGAAAUGCCAACUCAAAAAAUCAAUUAAGCAGUAAGAUACAUUACAUCACACUCAGUGAUGUCUAAAAAAAAAAAGAAAGAAACAGCCUCCUCUUGGGAUUCUUAAGAUCACCCAGCGAACUUUCCUUUGUGUCUUGUUGUCCAGAACUUAGUAACCAAUACAUGGCUGAACUAAUCAGGAAUGGAGUUCCUCUUAGAUCUCUUGGGCCCAUCCCUGAAGUUAGAGGUGGGGACAGCUUCCCCUGAGACACAGAUUGCAAAGAAGAGAGGUGGAUUCCGGAAAAAACUGCAGUUCUUUUAGAAAGUUGGAGAGAAAAAUGGAGACCUUAUAGAUGACCAGCAGUAUCUACUAAGAAUACUAACCUCGUGGGCUUGAUACAAACAGGCUGACUCUUGCUCAUCCAUCGAGUCUCAACUUUCAUGAAGUGGCUUCAAGCCAGCCUUUUCUGCUCACCUGUUACGCUUCUCCUUCUAAGCACAUGGUAGCAUUGCUCUUCCUGGGCCCCUUGGGAUCAGGUGCAGCCAUGGAACUAGCACUUUCCAACUGGUUGUGAACAGAAGUGAUGUGUAUCACCUCCUCACUGGAACAUCAAGUUACAAGACCCCCUUUCUUGUUCUCAUAACAACCAUGGAUGCUUUCAAUGAUGGCAGCUACUGCACCCUGAGCCACUAAAAGACUAGGAAGAAAAGAGGCCCCUGCUGGUGGAUCAUGAGUGUGCAACAUGAAACUAUUUUCAACUUUCAGUUUUCAGGGUCAUUGCAUAACCUGGCCCAGUGCAUCACAAAUUUUAGGUGCAAAGGAAUCACCUAGAGAGCUCCUUUCCCAAAGAGAUUGAUUCAAUCCCUAUUGGGUGCUGGAAAAGAUAGCAGAGGAAAAGCCAGCAUUAAGAAGCACAGCCAGCACACGGUCAAGCCAUCAUUCAUGACCACUGCUGGGUCUACCUAUUUCACAAACAGGAUUUCUGCUGACACCGGAAAAAUCCAUAGCAUGCUCACGGAUCUUCCUGUAGUCUCUCAAUCAUUUCUCAGAAUUAAUGGGGAAAAACCUUUUGAAUGUUUGCUAUAUAUAGGAACCAUGUGGAAAAAUUGGAAAUCAUCUAGAGAUAUUUAAAAGGAGACUCAGAUUUACAUACAAUGAUAUGUUUGAAGUUUGCUUUGAAAUACUAUAUUCUCCCUUACCCUCUUCCCCCACCAGAAAACCUGUGGAGUAACAAAAAUGGAAUAAAUACGAUUUGCCAUGAUGUAAUAAUCACCUGAUGAGUUCUUCCUGCCCAC
RNAcentral lists this long non-coding RNA (2269 nucleotides) under Homo sapiens (human). RNAcentral's name for it is "HSALNT0150687". Lineage: Eukaryota; Metazoa; Chordata; Mammalia; Primates; Hominidae. The record is from RNAcentral.